GAUGAACGCUGGCGGCGUGCCUAAUACAUGCAAGUCGAGCGAACAGAUGCGGAUCUUUCUCCUCUUACGUUAGCGGCGGACGGGUGAGUCACACGUGGAUAACCUACCUCUCAGACUUAGAUCACUUCGGGAAACCGGAGCUCCUACCGGAUAAUCUUUUGACCCGCAUGGUUCUAUAGUGAAAUAUGGUUUUUCUGUCACUUCUCGAUGUAUCCGCUCCGCAUUAGCUAGAUGGUAAGGUAACGGCUUACCAAGGCAACGAUGCGUAGCCGACCUGGGAGGGGGAUAGGCGACACUGGAACUGAGACACGGACAAGACGCCUAAGGGAGGGAGCAGUAGGGAAUCGGAGGCAAUGGGCGAAAGCCUGACGGAGCAACGGCGCGUGAGUGAUGAAGGUGUUCGGAGCGUAAAACUCGGUUAUGAGGGAAGAACAAAUGUGUAAGUAACAAUGCACGUAUUGACGGUACCUAAUCAGAAAGCCACGGCUAACUACGUG
Molecule: ribosomal RNA, 497 nt
Filed under: uncultured bacterium
Lineage: Bacteria
Description: partial 16S ribosomal RNA
Rfam family: Bacterial small subunit ribosomal RNA
Source: RNAcentral